Molecule: ribosomal RNA, 429 nt
Filed under: Gemmatimonadota bacterium
Lineage: Bacteria; Pseudomonadati; Gemmatimonadota
Description: Gemmatimonadetes bacterium partial 16S ribosomal RNA
Rfam family: Bacterial small subunit ribosomal RNA
Source: RNAcentral
UAGGGAAUCUUCGGCAAUGGACGAAAGUCUGACCGAGCAACGCCGCGUGAGUGAAGAAGGUUUUCGGAUCGUAAAACUCUGUUGUUAGAGAAGAACAAGGACGUGAGUAACUGAACGUCCCCUGACGGUAUCUAACCAGAAAGCCACAGCUAACUACGUGCCAGCAGCCGCGGUAAUACGUAGGUGGCAAGCGUUGUCCGGAUUUAUUGGGCGUAAAGCGAGCGCAGGCGGUUUCUUAAGUCUGAUGUGAAAGCCCCCGGCUCAACCGGGGAGGGUCAUUGGAAACUGUGAGACUUGAGUGCAGAAGAGGAGAGUGGAAUUCCAUGUGUAGCGGUGAAAUGCGUAGAUAUUUGGAGGAACACCAGUGGCGAAGGCGGCUCUCUGGUCUGUAACUGACGCUGAGGCUCGAAAGCGUGGGGAGCAAACAGG